This 248-nucleotide ribosomal RNA is filed under the name uncultured bacterium. RNAcentral's name for it is "partial 16S ribosomal RNA". It matches the Rfam family "Bacterial small subunit ribosomal RNA", at positions 85 to 334 of the family's 1533-position model. The record is from RNAcentral.
UGGAUGGCGACCGGCGCACGGGUGAGUAACACGUAUCCAACCUGCCGACAACACUGGGAUAGCCUUUCGAAAGAAAGAUUAAUACCGGAUGGCAUAGUUUUCCCGCAUGGGAUAAUUAUUAAAGAAUUUCGGUUGUCGAUGGGGAUGCAUUCCAUUAGGCAGUUGGCGGGGUAACGGCCCACCAAACCAACGAUGGAUAGGGGUUCUGAGAGGAAGGUCCCCCACAUUGGAACUGAGACACGGUCCAA